UGCGGAAUGGUAAUUUAAAUUAGAGCAAGCGGCGACUGCGGACGGGCAUGAUGCCCGAAACCGUUCGAGAAUGGCGGAAUGUGCGCCUAAUCCCCGGAUUUGCGAGAUCGUUGUGAAAUAUUGUGAUAUGCACGGUGCCCGAGGAACCUGACCCUGCUACAGUUUAGAGGCUACCAAACGAGGCCUACUACGUUCACUGGAGUAUUUUACGACGAUUUUUAGCGGAACUGACUUUAUGGCAGUCAAGGACGGGUCUCUGGGCCAGGUUCCAGCGAUCAGUGUAAAUUGUGACAAUUUUUUGUAGCAGUUCCUGCGAAGACAUCGACAAUGGUCUCAAGCGGCGUAGAUAACUUGGCAACCUUAGGAAGAUAAUGGAACUGCAGCUAAGGACCGUC
Drosophila takahashii is the source of this 395-nucleotide non-coding RNA. NCBI's taxonomy places the organism in Eukaryota, Metazoa, Arthropoda, Insecta, Diptera, Drosophilidae. The record is from RefSeq and is a predicted model, not a curated record.